GACGAACGCUGGCGGCGUGCCUAAUACAUGCAAGUCGAACGCUUCUUUCCUCCCGAGUGCUUGCACUCAAUUGGAAAGAGGAGUGGCGGACGGGUGAGUAACACGUGGGUAACCUACCCAUCAGAGGGGGAUAACACUUGGAAACAGGUGCUAAUACCGCAUAACAGUUUAUGCCGCAUGGCAUAAGAGUGAAAGGCGCUUUCGGGUGUCGCUGAUGGAUGGACCCGCGGUGCAUUAGCUAGUUGGUGAGGUAACGGCUCACCAAGGCCACGAUGCAUAGCCGACCUGAGAGGGUGAUCGGCCACACGGGGACUGAGACACGGCCAAGACUCCUACGGGAGGCAGCAGUAGGGAAUCUUCGGCAAUGGACGAAAGUCUGACCGAGCAACGCCGCGGGGGGGAAGAAGGUUUUCGGAUCGUAAAACUCUGUUGUUAGAGAAGAACAAGGACGUUAGUAACUGAACGUCCCCUGACGGUAUCUAACCAGAAAGCCACGGCUAACUACGUG
RNAcentral lists this ribosomal RNA (508 nucleotides) under uncultured bacterium. Its description in RNAcentral is "partial 16S ribosomal RNA". It matches the Rfam family "Bacterial small subunit ribosomal RNA", at positions 28 to 507 of the family's 1533-position model. The record is from RNAcentral.